Molecule: long non-coding RNA, 509 nt
Organism: Zophobas morio
Lineage: Eukaryota; Metazoa; Arthropoda; Insecta; Coleoptera; Tenebrionidae
Exons: 5
Source: RefSeq, a predicted model, not a curated record
GCGUGGUCCGCCUUGAAAAGCAACGCUUCAGCAUCCUCAGCUUCUUUUAGUAUCCGCCAUCAAACUUAUAUUUCUCAAAUUGGCCAGCGCCUUUUGGACUUACCCCAACAAUUGGAGCCGUUAAUUUUGAAAAAAAAUGAGCCUGAAAGUUUUUGUAUGUUUCUGGCGCUUUCUAAAGGCGUAACCCCAAAUGUUGAACAAGCGUCAACAGCUUUCACACACCAAGUGGCCAACGAUGAAGGAUUUUACGCCAGCACGUGGCUUGAGGCGGUUGUAUCAAAAAUGAAGGAUUUAUAUGUUCAGUCUAUUCUAGCAAUUCCCCAACUUACUGAUUUGGGCGCCAAUCAGCUUUGUGUAGACAUUGAAUAUUUGUUAAACAUUUUGUCUAUUAUGGAUAUGGAAAGCCCGCCUGAACUUCUUUAUAUACUUCAAUACUGCAAGCAUACUAAAGAAGAAACGUUUCAAAUAGAAAAGGAGACCAAUCCAAAACAGAAGAUUUACGAAAUAAA